Molecule: ribosomal RNA, 253 nt
Filed under: uncultured bacterium
Lineage: Bacteria
Description: partial 16S ribosomal RNA
Rfam family: Bacterial small subunit ribosomal RNA
Source: RNAcentral
UACGAAGGGGGCUAGCGUUGUUCGGAUUUACUGGGCGUAAAGCGCACGCAGGCGGCCAAACAAGUCAGAGGUGAAAUCCCAGGGCUCAACCCUGGAACUGCCUUUGAAACUGUUUGGCUAGAGAUCGAGAGAGGAUAGUGGAAUUCCUAGUGUAGAGGUGAAAUGCUUAGAUAUGACAUAGAACACCAAUUGCGAAGGCAGCUUACUACACGAUCAUUGACACUGAGGCACGAAAGCGUGGGGAGCAAACAGG